UCAUCAAAAAGGGCUGAGAAU
Molecule: microRNA, 21 nt
Filed under: Drosophila virilis
Lineage: Eukaryota; Metazoa; Arthropoda; Insecta; Diptera; Drosophilidae
Description: dvi-miR-2c-5p
Gene: dvi-miR-2c-5p
Source: miRBase by way of RNAcentral